AUAACAUUUGGAAACAGAUGCUAAUACCGCAUAGAUCCAAGAACCGCAUGGUUCUUGGCUGAAAGCCGGAGUAAGCUAUCGCUUUUGGAUGGACCCGCGGCGUAUUAGCUAGUUGGUGAGGUAACGGCUCACCAAGGCGAUGAUACGUAGCCGAACUGAGAGGUUGAUCGGCCACAUUGGGACUGAGACACGGCCCAAACUCCUACGGGAGGCAGCAGUAGGGAAUCUUCCACAAUGGACGCAAGUCUGAUGGAGCAACGCCGCGUGAGUGAAGAAGGCUUUCGGGUCGUAAAACUCUGUUGAUGGAGAAGAAUGGUCGGCAGAGUAACUGUUGCCGGCGUGACGGUAUCCAACCAGAAAGCCACGGCUAACUACGUGCCAGCAGCCGCGGUAAUACGUAGGUGGCAAGCGUUAUCCGGAUUUAUUGGGCGUAAAGCGAGCGCAGGCGGUUUUUUAAGUCUGAUGUGAAAGCCCUCGGCUUAACCGAGGAAGCGCAUCGGAAACUGGGAAACUUGAGUGCAGAAGAGGACAGUGGAACUCCAUGUGUAGCGGUGAAAUGCGUAGAUAUAUGGAAGAACACCAGUGGCGAAGGCGGCUGUCUGGUCUGUAACUGACGCUGAGGCUCGAAAGCAUGGGUAGCGAACAGGAUUAGAUACCCUGGUAGUCCAUGCCGUAAACGAUGAAUGCUAGGUGUUGGAGGGUUUCCGCCCUUC
Molecule: ribosomal RNA, 713 nt
Filed under: uncultured bacterium
Lineage: Bacteria
Description: bacterial SSU rRNA
Rfam family: Bacterial small subunit ribosomal RNA
Source: RNAcentral